GGUCAAGCGAAUAAGCGCACACGGUGGAUGCCUUGGCGGUCAGAGGCGAUGAAGGACGUGGCAGCCUGCGAAAAGUAUCGGGGAGCUGGCAACAAGCUUUGAUCCGGUAAUGUCCGAAUGGGGAAACCCACCCGCUUGCGGGUAUCCUGCAGUGAAUACAUAGCUGCUGGAAGCGAACCUGGUGAACUGAAAUAUCUAAGUAACCAGAGGAAAAGAAAUCAACCGAGAUUCCGUAAGUAGCGACGAGCGAACGCGGACUAGCCCUUAAGCUGGAUUGGUUCUAGGAAAACGCUCUGGAAAGAGCGGCCAUAGAAGGUGAUAGCCCUGUAUCUGAAAGGGCCAUUCCAGUGAAGACGAGUAGGGCGGGGCACGUGAAACCCUGUCUGAACAUGGGGGGACCAUCCUCCAAGGCUAAAUACUACUGACCGACCGAUAGUGAACCAGUACCGUGAGGGAAAGGCGAAAAGAACCCCGGAGAGGGGAGUGAAAUAGAACCUGAAACCGUGUGCGUACAAGCAGUAGGAGCUCCGCAAGGAGUGACUGCGUACCUUUUGUAUAAUGGGUCAGCGACUUACUGUUCGUGGCAAGCUUAACCGUAUAGGGGAGGCGAAGGGAAACCGAGUCUGAUAAGGGCGCAUAGUCGCGGGCAGUAGACCCGAAACCGGGUGAUCUAGUCAUGCCCAGGGUGAAGGUGCGGUAACACGCACUGGAGGCCCGAACCCACUCCCGUUGCAAAGGUAGGGGAUGAGGUGUGAUUAGGAGUGAAAAGCUAAUCGAACCCGGAGAUAGCUGGUUCUCCUCGAAAGCUAUUUAGGUAGCGCCUCAUAUGUAUCCUCUCGGGGGUAGAGCACUGUUAUGGCUAGGGGGUCAUCGCGACUUACCAAACCAUUGCAAACUCCGAAUACCGAGACGGACUGUAUGGGAGACACACGGCGGGUGCUAACGUCCGUCGUGAAAAGGGAAACAACCCAGAC
This 974-nucleotide ribosomal RNA is filed under the name Stenotrophomonas maltophilia. RNAcentral's name for it is "partial 23S ribosomal RNA". It matches the Rfam family "Bacterial large subunit ribosomal RNA", at positions 1 to 1032 of the family's 2925-position model. The record is from RNAcentral. Lineage: Bacteria; Pseudomonadati; Pseudomonadota; Gammaproteobacteria; Lysobacterales; Lysobacteraceae.